This 1039-nucleotide unclassified non-coding RNA is filed under the name Hevea brasiliensis (rubber tree). Lineage: Eukaryota; Viridiplantae; Streptophyta; Magnoliopsida; Malpighiales; Euphorbiaceae. The record is from RNAcentral.
AUUUCUAAUGGAUCUUAUAGUUCUUUAUAUGCUUACAGUCAAAGUAAAAUAGAAAAAAAAAUUUGGGAUGGAAUAUAUUUGGCCUGGAUUUUCAAAUUCUAACUUAAUAAUAAGGGAGAAAUAGCAUGUCUACUGCACGUAACAACACGGAUUUAUCCUGCAAAAUAAAGAAUCCAUUGGCCCCUGUGGAGUGGUACAAAUCAAGAACCGUCUUAAGAAUUCAGGACAACUUUUCAAAUGUCAAAUGCUACCAGCAUCUCACAAGAAUAUACAGGACAACACUUUUGCAUAAGUCUACACUACACUAAUAAAGCAUAGAAAGAACAAGGAAAUAGCAAAUACGUCUACAACGAAAGCAACACAAUUGAGACCCUGAUACUUUCUUUUCCCGCUUAAUCCUAAUUAAUCACUUUCUAUUUGGCAUUUCGGAUCAUGAAUUCCCACAUUCCGCAUCUCUGCAAAUUGCAAACCACGACUUGGGUAUAGAUUAAAAUUAAAAGAAAAAAUUCCCCAGAGUCAAGCAACACUAAAUAAAAUAAAUAGAACUAGCACCAAGUGCACAAAAAUAAUUGAUUUUUUUUUCUAUUUUCAAGAAAGAGAUACUGACGGCAAUGGAAGGAGGUGAACAACGAGCGAAGUGCGAGAACCAUAGUAACGAAGGGCUUGUUUGAGAGGAGGCCAUGAGUCUCUGCUAUCGGGGCAGACAGGAUCAUAGAAGGCCUCAAUCAGGAUGGAGUCGGCAUCACCUGGGCGAUCCUGGUAAACGAACCCAUCGUACCUUGCAGGUGGUAGGGUCUGAGCAUGUAGGGUCCAUGAAAACAAACUGAUAAGACAGAAGAAAGAAAGUAUCAGAGUGGCAAAUUGUGGCCUGGGCAUCCUCUGUUCUUCUUCUUCUCUGAUUCAGUGAAGUCCUCUGGUAGAGCUCUAAUGCAUGGACGAGAGACGGAGCAGGAAGAAGAGCAACCAAUCGUCGAAAUUCCACUUUAGUACAUGAAGUCAAUAGAAACUGCACCUUUCUUCUAUCAUGUACUGGGUCAAU